RNAcentral lists this ribosomal RNA (463 nucleotides) under uncultured bacterium. RNAcentral's name for it is "partial 16S ribosomal RNA". It matches the Rfam family "Bacterial small subunit ribosomal RNA", at positions 28 to 507 of the family's 1533-position model. The record is from RNAcentral.
GACGAACGCUGGCGGCGUGCUUAACACAUGCAAGUCGAACGGUAAGGCCCUUCGGGGUACACGAGUGGCGAACGGGUGAGUAACGCGUGAGUAACCUGCCCUUCACUCUGGGAUAACAGUUGGAAACGGCUGCUAAUACCGUAUAUUCAGCUCCUGUCGCAAGGUGGGGGUUGGAAAGUUUUGGUGGUGGAGGAUGGGCUCGCGUCCUAUCAGCUUGUUGGUGGGGUGAUGGCCUACCAAGGCGUCGACGGGUAGCCGGCCUGAGAGGGCGACCGGCCACAUUGGUACUCAGGUGCGGCCCGAACUCCUACGGGAGGCAGCAGUGGGGAAUAUUGCACAAUGGGCGGAAGCCUGAUGCAGCAACGCCGCGUGCGGAAUGACGGCCUUCGGGUUGUAACCCGCUUUCAGCAGGGACGAAGCGCAAGUGACGGUACCUGCAGAAGAAGCACCGGCUAACUACGUG